GACGAACGCUGGCGGCGUGCUUAACACAUGCAAGUCGAACGGAAAGGCCCUGCUUUUGUGGGGUGCUCGAGUGGCGAAGGGGUGAGUAACACGUGAGUAACCUGCCCUUGACAUUGGGAUAACUUCAGGAAACUGCGGCUAAUACCGGAUAGGAUCUCCUGCUGCAUGGGGGUGGUAGGAAAGAUUCGGCGGUUGGGGAUGGACUCGCGGGUUAUCAGCUGGUUUGUGGAGUAGUGGCGUACCAAGGCUUUGACGGGUAGCCUGCCUUGGAGGGUGAACGGCCACAUUGGGACUGAGAGACGGACCAGACUGGUACGUUAGGCAGUAGUGGGGAGUCUUACACAAUGAGGGGAAGCGUGAUACAGAGACGUCGGGUGCGGAAUGCCCGCUUUCGAGUUGUAAACCGCUUUCGCCUGUGACGAAGCGUGCGUGACGGUAAUGGGUAAAGAAGCACCGGCUAACUACGUG
This 468-nucleotide ribosomal RNA is filed under the name uncultured bacterium. RNAcentral's name for it is "partial 16S ribosomal RNA". It matches the Rfam family "Bacterial small subunit ribosomal RNA", at positions 28 to 507 of the family's 1533-position model. The record is from RNAcentral.